UCUGCUGGCAUGCAGGCAGAAGACUGU
RNAcentral lists this non-coding RNA (27 nucleotides) under Cricetulus griseus (Chinese hamster). Lineage: Eukaryota; Metazoa; Chordata; Mammalia; Rodentia; Cricetidae. The record is from RNAcentral.